CACUAGCACUACUUUGUUCAUUGC
This 24-nucleotide non-coding RNA is filed under the name Arabidopsis thaliana (thale cress). The record is from RNAcentral. Lineage: Eukaryota; Viridiplantae; Streptophyta; Magnoliopsida; Brassicales; Brassicaceae.